This 253-nucleotide ribosomal RNA is filed under the name uncultured bacterium. RNAcentral describes it as "partial 16S ribosomal RNA". It matches the Rfam family "Bacterial small subunit ribosomal RNA", at positions 524 to 776 of the family's 1533-position model. The record is from RNAcentral.
UACGUAGGGACCAAGCGUUGUUCGGAUUUACUGGGCGUAAAGGGCGCGUAGGCGGCGCGGUAAGUCACUUGUGAAAUCUCUGAGCUUAACUCAGAACGGCCAAGUGAUACUGCAGUGCUAGAGUGUGGAAGGGGCAAUCGGAAUUCUUGGUGUAGCGGUGAAAUGCGUAGAUAUCAGGAGGAAUACCGAUGGCGAAGGCAGGUCUCUGGGCUGACACUGACGCUCAUGCACGAAAGCGUGGGGAGCAAACAGG